AUACAAAGUAUACUUUAUGAUGGUUUUAAAUACUUUUUUGAGACCAUUGCUAGAUUUUUAGGUUAUCCA
RNAcentral lists this transfer RNA (69 nucleotides) under Conticribra weissflogii. The record is from RNAcentral. Lineage: Eukaryota; Bacillariophyta; Thalassiosirophyceae; Thalassiosirales; Thalassiosiraceae.